This 253-nucleotide ribosomal RNA is filed under the name uncultured bacterium. RNAcentral's name for it is "partial 16S ribosomal RNA". It matches the Rfam family "Bacterial small subunit ribosomal RNA", at positions 524 to 776 of the family's 1533-position model. The record is from RNAcentral.
UACGGGGGGGGCAAGCGUUGUUCGGAAUUACUGGGCGUAAAGGGCUCGUAGGCGGCCAACUAAGUCAGACGUGAAAUCCCUCGGCUUAACCGGGGAACUGCGUCUGAUACUGGAUGGCUAGAGGUUGGGAGAGGGAUGCGGAAUUCCAGGUGUAGCGGUGAAAUGCGUAGAUAUCUGGAGGAACACCGGUGGCGAAGGCGGCAUCCUGGACCAAUUCUGACGCUGAUGGGCGAAAGCCAGGGGAGCAAACGGG